Molecule: long non-coding RNA, 2879 nt
Organism: Ochotona curzoniae (black-lipped pika)
Lineage: Eukaryota; Metazoa; Chordata; Mammalia; Lagomorpha; Ochotonidae
Exons: 3
Source: RefSeq, a predicted model, not a curated record
UCUGUUGAUGACUGACUUUUACCUAGCAUGGUGCUUUUGAGAUCCACACAUGCUCUUGAUGGUUAGUGUUUUUUUCCAGAGUGAAAAUAGCUUGUCUAUCCAUUAGUUCUCUCCCCAGAUGGCUGCAAAGCCAGGUUGUAUCAUGAGCCUAGAAUUCUACCUGGUUCUCUCAGGGUAUGAGAGGUCCAAACACUUGGGCUGUCUUCUGUUUGUUUCUCAGGUGCAGGAGCAAUAAGCCAGAUCAGAAGCUGGGCAACUGGGCCUCGAACUGGUGCUCAUAGGAGAUGCUGGUGUUGCCAGUAUAGGCUAAACCCACCAUGAAAGGACACUGCCUGUUGAUAGUAGCUUUUACCAGGAAACUUUACAUUGUUUACAUUAUUUUUGAAGUCUUAAAAAUUGUAAUGUGAAUUAAUCUCACAUUUCUAGAACAGUUGCAAGAAUUACAAGAUACGCUUCUAAGAUACCCAUGUGUAUACUCCCAAAUGUUAAUAUUUUAUUGUAUUUUCUGUUUCUUUCUCCAUGAAAUCCCAACCUUAUAGUUCUCUUGUUUUCAAAGCAUCCUUUUCUUAGUAGGUCAGCUCUCUCUGACCCUCUCUGUUUGAGCAUCACUUAAUUCCGACUAGCAGCACUGUGGCCCAAUUUCGAAAGCCUUGGAGAGAUUUAAUUGGCUCAGGUUGGGUUGGGCAUCUUCCCCCACCCAUGCAAUCAACAGUGACCCCAUGGUGGGGUCCUUUGAGAAUAAAUCUUGGGUGAAAUUUCCAAGAGUGAAUAAAGAAAAGAGGGGAGAAACACUGAGAAUCUCUUCCAAGAAGCAUUUAACAAUUUGAAAAAUAAUAAAAACAUAAUAAUCCUGAAUGAGUAUUUUUCCAUAUAGUUGCUUUACACUGCCAGGUGCUUUUCCAUACCCAUGUGCUUAUUUCCUUGCUCAUCUUGGCGCUCAACUUUGAGGACUAGCUAAGGUCAAAUACUUUCCACUAAAAAAGAAAAAAAAAAUCAGUAUCUAUUCUUAGCAGCUACACCUCCCUCUUGGCCAAAGCAUGUGACUUGCUCUCUUUUUAAUUGCUAGUGACUCAAACACACCUGGGUGUCUGGGGUUGGAGGUGGCUUCAGUACAGCUGGGGCUAAGGGUUACCUUUCUCUAUCACUUCUCCAGGCUUUCUGCAUGCCACAGAGUGGAAUUCCUGUUCUAGCCGUUGUCUUAGGGACACCUGAGUACCAAGGCCCCCUGAUGCUCUGAGUUCUCUCACUUUAGCGCUCUCUCAUUUGCAGUUUUUUCCUUUCCACCCAUCCCAUCAUCUGUGCCAGGCUUUCUUUACAUGACUGGCAUAGUUGCUGGCAGCUUCCAAGCGUCAAAGCAGGGAUUGGCAUGCCAGUGGCUUCUGCAAGGUGCCUAUGUCCUAAUGCAAGGACUGUGAAUGUGUUACUUUGAGGAGCAAAAGGGAAUAAAUUAAGGAUCUGAAGAUGGGAGAGAUGAUCCAGGUGGGCCCCGUAGAAUCAUAAAAGGCCUUACAAGCGGGAUAUGGGAAGGCCAAAGGCAAAAGAAGGGACCAGGACAAGGAAGCAGAAGCUGGAAGGAUGUGCCUUAAUCAUGGAGCAAAGGGCCAGGGGGGACCCUACCUGCAGGUGGCCUGUAGGAACUAGGAAAGUUCAAAGAGUGGAUUCCAGAGGAGCAGCUGCAGAGAUCAUGACUGCUGAUACCUUGAGUUUAGCUGCUCUUACCCACAUUGGGUUCCAGGCAUGUGAGAGUAUGAAUUCAUGGGGUCUCAAAGCACAAAGUGGCUGCAGUUCAUUCCAGCAGCCACCAGACACUAACAUGUAAUCUCAGUACUGAUGACUGAAUGUUCCAGAAGUCCUGUGAUUCCUCUAAAAUGGCCCAUACACCCUCCACCUAUUUCUUGAGUAGAAUACAUAAGGUGAAGAACAAGUAGAAUGAGCGAUCACCUGCAACUCAGAGGUGAGAGAAGGAACUGGUGAAGGGGUCGUGGGGAGUUCGUUUCUCCAUGAGAGAGCAGCUGGACAGACAACAAGAAAGAGGAUCUCUUGUUCACCCUGGUACUGCCAUGCCAGCCAGCCUUUGCCCCAGGCAGCCGUUGAAAAUCAGCACUAUGCUUUGUGGACAGCAGUGCAUAGGAGGAUGCACUGUGCGAUUUAUCGCUUCAGGUUUGCAAAGCUAUUUUUAUAAGAAGAAAAAAUGUGUAAUCUCUGGAGGGCAUAUUUGAAUGGAGCAAAACCUCAUUUACAUAUGGAAAAUCUGCUAUUUUUGUUGUAAACGUUGUGCUUUUGUAGCCAAAAGAAAGAUCUGAGUUUAUAUUCAGAGUCUGUCACAUGCCAGCCUGGGGACCUCUGUGAAUUUCAGUUUCCUCAUCUGUAAAAUGGAGAUGAUAAUACCUUCCUGUGAGCUGUUGAAAGGAUUGAAAAAAAAGAUGAUUUAUGUAAAACCCCGCACUAAGUAUGUAGAGCUUAGUGCACUUGUUCAGUAAAGAAUUGCUAUAUUUGUCCUGCUUUCUCCACAUCAUGAGAUGAAAUUGGUCCAUGAAAGAUUGGACUGGGUUUGGAGUUUGGAUGGAAAGGCCUCAUAUUUUAGUAUAUGCAUUAGUUUGAGCAGAGUGGCUAAAAAACAUUUUUUUUUGAAGCGUACGCUUGUAUGUAUAUAGAAGAGUACUUCAAAAAAUGUGUGGGAAAACAGAAACAAAAGCUAAGUUUGGCAGUGAACCUUUGACCUAGUGGUUAGGAGGCUGGUGUGCCCGAAUUUCAUCACUGAUUCCAGCUUCCAAUUCCAGCUUCACGCUGAUGCAGACCCUGGGAGGUGGCAGUGAUGGUGUGAGUUAUGAUGUCCAUGUAGGAAGUCUAGCUGGGAUCACAGGCUCCCAGUUAGGUCC